RNAcentral lists this long non-coding RNA (1372 nucleotides) under Olea europaea subsp. europaea. The record is from RNAcentral. Lineage: Eukaryota; Viridiplantae; Streptophyta; Magnoliopsida; Lamiales; Oleaceae.
GUUGCAUCUAAAAGAGAGUUUGAGGACUUCAGUAGUGUUAGAAAUGAUUGCACUCAUAUAUAGAAGAGUCUUUCAGGACGUGACUAAUAUGAUCAGAUUCAUCAUAAGUAUACUCGAGGAAGUGACAAGCACACCGUCAUGAACAAAAAGUUAAAAAAGUCAUGGAACACAAGCACCCCUUGGCUCAAGGGACUAGAAAAUAUUUUUCGUUUUCCCCACUUUAUCGGCCAUGCACGCUUCCUCAACAAACUCUCAAGCCUCCUUUGCGCCACCUUCCUUAUAGAAGUCUCCGGAUUGACCUUGAAGGCCGAAUUCUAUAUGGAGAAUGCUGUAAUAAUAAUUGAGCCAUGAGAGACUUUAUCAAUUCUUACAAAAGGAAGGUCCUGUUGAUAGAGCUAGCCGAGGAGGCAAUACUAGUAAUCAUGUGAGAGAGAGAAGUCAAAGAGAUGCCUGGCCCCCUUAAAACCCAUUACCUAAUAAGGAUGUAUGCCGAUGACUUACUACUUGGAAUCGUGGGUGCCGUAGAUCAGACCUAGCGGUAGACUGGCGGGCCAUGCCUAAGUUCAGAUCGGACUAGACUCUUUUUUGUUUGAGCUGCUCCCACGAACGUGGACUGGAAGAUCUCACUGGUCGUGGACUACACAAGUGCGUAGAGAUCUUCUUGGGACAGUGAAUGGGAAAUUAUUAGGGAAAGCUAUCUUUCAAAUAUGAUAUUCCAGAGUUUGACUAGUUUAGAUCUCAGUGCAUGAAGGCCAUAUUGCUAAAUGAUACUCCUCCCUUUAAAGGCAUGUGGCAUUUUUAUUUUUAUUUUUAAUUUUGGCAAGAUAAUGCUACACAUGCCUUUAGUGGAGAAAAGGAGAAGGAUUCCUUCUAGGUUCUUGUUCUACUUUUUUGCUAUCUUUAUUAUUUGCUAGAUUCUUUUAUUACGUGCAACUUAAAGACAAGUACUGCUUCAUAGUUUUCUUAAUUGCAUUUUCUAUCCCCAUUGGACAGCAUGAUUUGCUUUAUUAAUUUAAGCAUUGUACUUCAUAGGGCCAACCUAAUUGAAUAUCAAGAUAUUUAAGGCUGAUGAUUCAUCAAAAUAAUGAGCUUAAAAUUCUUAACUCAAAAUAGGUAUGAGAUGUUAUUUUUAUUUGGGAAUCUUACUCUGUCUAUAUCAACUCAAAUAGCUCCUUUUACUUUUUGGUUGGCUUGAACAUUUUAGAAGAGAAAUGAAACUGAAUUUGCAUGGCUGGACCUGAAUUUAGAAUGUUGGACAUGCAACCAUGUGCAAACUACCUUUGACAUAGUUAUUUAUCAAAUUUGUCAUGUUAAAUGGUGUCAUUGUGCAAACAAUGCAAUUACCAUCAAGACCUAUGAAUUCGAUGACGUU